GACGAACCGUGCGAACGUUAUUCGGAAUCACUGGGCUUAAAGCGCGUGUAGGCGGACGAGAACGUCGGUCGUUGAAAGCCCCCGGCUCAACCGGGGAACUGGCGCCGAAACGGCUUGUCUGGAGGGACGUAGGGGGACCUGGAACUUCCGGUGGAGCGGUGAAAUGCGUUGAGAUCGGAAGGAACGCCCGUGGCGAAAGCGAGGUCCUGGACGUCUACUGACGCUGAGACGCGAAAGCUAGGGGGAGCGAACGGGAUUAGAUACCCCGGUAGUCCUAGCUGUAAACGAUGGGCACUAGAUAGGGGGCUCGCCGAUGGGCUCCCUGUCGUAGGGAAACCGUGAAGUGCCCCGCCUGGGGAGUAUGGUCGCAAGGCUGAAACU
Molecule: ribosomal RNA, 381 nt
Filed under: uncultured bacterium
Lineage: Bacteria
Description: bacterial SSU rRNA
Rfam family: Bacterial small subunit ribosomal RNA
Source: RNAcentral